CCUACGGGCGGCAGCAGUAGGGAAUCUUCCACAAUGGGCGAAAGCCUGAUGGAGCAACGCCGCGUGGGUGAAGAAGGUCUUCGGAUCGUAAAACCCUGUUGUUAGAGAAGAAAGUGCGUGAGAGUAACUGUUCACGUUUCGACGGUAUCUAACCAGAAAGCCACGGCUAACUACGGGCCAGCAGCCGCGGUAAUACGUAGGUGGCAAGCGUUAUCCGGAUUUAUUGGGCGUAAAGGGAACGCAGGCGGUCUUUUAAGUCUGAUGGGAAAGCCUUCGGCUUAACCGGAGUAGUGCAUUGGAAACUGGGAGACUUGAGUGCAGAAGAGGAGAGUGGAACUCCAUGUGUAGCGGUGAAAUGCGUAGAUAUAUGGAAGAACACCAGUGGCGAAAGCGGCUCUCUGGUCUGUAACUGACGCUGAGGUUCGAAAGCGUGGGUAGCAAACAGGAUUAGAUACCCGGGUAGUC
Molecule: ribosomal RNA, 465 nt
Filed under: uncultured bacterium
Lineage: Bacteria
Description: partial 16S ribosomal RNA
Rfam family: Bacterial small subunit ribosomal RNA
Source: RNAcentral